This 490-nucleotide ribosomal RNA is filed under the name uncultured bacterium. Its description in RNAcentral is "partial 16S ribosomal RNA". It matches the Rfam family "Bacterial small subunit ribosomal RNA", at positions 30 to 507 of the family's 1533-position model. The record is from RNAcentral.
AUUGAACGCUGGCGGCAGGCCUAACACAUGCAAGUCGAACGGUAACAGGAAGAAGCUUGCUUCUUUGCUGACGAGUGGCGGACGGGUGAGUAAUGUCUGGGAAACUGCCUGAUGGAGGGGGAUAACUACUGGAAACGGUAGCUAAUACCGCAUAAUGUCGCAAGACCAAAGAGGGGGACCUUCGGGCCUCUUGCCAGCGGAUGUGCCCAGAUGGGAUUAGCUAGUAGGUGGGGUAACGGCUCACCUAGGCGACGAUCCCUAGCUGGUCUGAGAGGAUGACCAGCCACACUGGAACUGAGACACGGUCCAGACUCCUACGGGAGGCAGCAGUGGGGAAUAUUGCACAAUGGGCGCAAGCCUGAUGCAGCUAUGCCGCGUGUAUGAAGAAGGCCUUCGGGUUGUAAAGUACUUUCAGCGGGGAGGAAGGGAGUAAAGUUAAUACCUUUGCUCAUUGACGUUACCCGCAGAAGAAGCACCGGCUAACUCCGUG